Long non-coding RNA from Haemorhous mexicanus (house finch), 1021 nucleotides. RefSeq lists it as uncharacterized. The transcript has 3 exons. The record is from RefSeq and is a predicted model, not a curated record. Lineage: Eukaryota; Metazoa; Chordata; Aves; Passeriformes; Fringillidae.
CACUCUUACCAAUUUCAUCACCCACAUGAAAAUGCUUAUUAGAGCAGAAAACGAGAGGAAAGUUUUCUAUCCAUAUUGAGGUUCUAAAGGAAGGGGAGAGCACUAAAGAUUGAUAUUCCAGCAGGUGAUCUGAGUACAACCAUACUGGAGUUGAGAACUGUCUCUCCAUUCACUAAAUUUGAUUUUGGGUAUGAGGAAUGAAGAACUGUCAUUCCCUAAAUCCAAGCAGAGCAGAUCUACAGGACACCUGGUGGAACUGCAGGUUCAUGAACAAAGGGCUCAUAAAUAUACACUGAAAUGACUAGGGAGGGAUAGCUCUUCCAGUGUCCUUUCCCUCAGCUGUGGAUGCUGAUAGACUGCAGGGAACCGACCACAGAAAGCAGGCAGGGCACAAUGACAAGAACUUUCAUUUCUUUGAAUACUCGUGUCAUUUUGGGAUUCUCAUGCCUCCAGUUCUUCCUUGGUCAAAGUAUUCUUCAGGACAUCUCAAUCUAUUUCAACAGAAAAGCUUCUGCAAGACACAGCCUAUAGGUAUGUAAUCUUAGCUUGGGAAGUGUGUGAAUGUGUAAUUUGCAUACAGGACUUUUUAAAACUUUACAAUGUCAACCCUGAGAAAAAAAAGUCUCUGUUUUCUCCUGUUAUCUUUAUAAUACAUUUUAUUUUUAGCGAGCCCCUUCUCCCAUUUCUCAUCUAUAAAUGCUGAUGUAUGAGAAGACUGAUGGUUACAGUAUGUGGCCUUUUUUUUUUCCACUCCACAUUCGUUACAUGGACCAAGGUGCAUGAGCUCAUCAGGGGCUUUCUAAGUGUUAAAAAAGGAGGAGGAGGGAUUUUUCUUGCUUUUUUUUUUGCCUCGUGGAAGUUAAGUUGCUAGAACUAUCUUCAUUUUAAUAUGCUUUUCUCUGUAAUUAAUCUCCCUUAUAUUAACUCUGUCAGCCUGGCCUUUUCAAAGAGUAAUUUCACUCAAAGAGUAGUCUUUAGAGGAUUCUCUACUCCAAUUCUUUCACUAUGACAAGAAAUUUCU